AUUGAACGCUGGCGGCAGGCCUAACACAUGCAAGUCGAGCGCAGCGGCGGACGGGUGAGUAAUACCUAGGAAUCUGCCUGGUAGUGGGGGAUAACGUUCGGAAACGGACGCUAAUACCGCAUACUAUCAGAUGAGCCUAGGUCGGAUUAGCUAGUUGGUGAGGUAAUGGCUCCCCAAGGCUACGAUCCGUAAGUGGUCUGAGAGGAUGAUCAGUCACACUGGAACUGAUACACGGUCCAGCCUCCUACGGGAGGCAGCAGUGGGGAAUAUUGGACAAUGGGCGAAAGCCUGAUUCAGCCAUGACGCGUGUGUGAAGAAGGUCUUCGGAUUGUAAAGCACUUUAAUGUGGGAGGCGUUACCGACAGAAGAAGCACCGGCGAACGCUGGGCCAGCCGCCGCGGUAAUAC
RNAcentral lists this ribosomal RNA (407 nucleotides) under uncultured bacterium. Its description in RNAcentral is "partial 16S ribosomal RNA". It matches the Rfam family "Bacterial small subunit ribosomal RNA", at positions 30 to 526 of the family's 1533-position model. The record is from RNAcentral.